Molecule: long non-coding RNA, 119 nt
Organism: Trichomycterus rosablanca
Lineage: Eukaryota; Metazoa; Chordata; Actinopteri; Siluriformes; Trichomycteridae
Exons: 3
Source: RefSeq, a predicted model, not a curated record
AACCCGCCACCCGAGCUCUCUCAGCCGGCCACAAAUGACAUUGAAGAAGGAUUGGAUGAGACCAGUGAUCUUCAGUUCGACACGCCAAACUGGCAACUGGUGGCCACUGACCCGCUGCC